This 253-nucleotide ribosomal RNA is filed under the name uncultured bacterium. RNAcentral describes it as "partial 16S ribosomal RNA". It matches the Rfam family "Bacterial small subunit ribosomal RNA", at positions 524 to 776 of the family's 1533-position model. The record is from RNAcentral.
GACAGAGGGUGCAAACGUUGUUCGGAAUUACUGGGCGUAAAGGGCGCGUAGGCGGUCUUGCAAGUCCCGUGUGAAAUCCCUCGGCUCAACUGAGGAACUGCACGGGAAACUGCUUGGCUUGAGUUCGGGAGAGGGAAGCGGAAUUCCGGGUGUAGCGGUGAAAUGCGUAGAUAUCCGGAGGAACACCGGUGGCGAAGGCGGCUUCCUGGACCGACACUGACGCUGAGGCGCGAAAGCUAAGGGAGCAAACGGG